UGUAACAUCUCGUAAUCGCGCAUCACUAGUGGUUGGUGGUUAAAUUGUCAUUGCUUGAUUGUUCAGGUUGUUAGUUUACGCUGUAGUGGUUAUCUAAUCAAAAGAUUUGCAUUACAAAACAACUGCUUAUCAUUGUGUUAAUAGUUGAUUAGGAAUAUCUUACUUGGGUGUUGCUUUCGUUUAUCUAUGAAAGUUUGUACAAAUACAUUUUUAAUAGUUUCAACUUCAGUUUAAAUGAUCAGAUCUCUGUUAUUUGUUCAUCAAAAUUGUACAUCAAACAGUCAAUUCAUUAAACAAGCAAAGAAACAUCUGAAGAUUGGUCUUUUGAUAACCUUCCAUUAUCACACUGUUUUGUGUAACUGUCAGAAGGCAAAUACACCCAGUACAAACUCACUCACCUCAAUGGCAGAAAACAUAACUAACUCCAGUGUGUUCACGGGGAAAGAAGACAGGUACAAAGGAAUACAUGUUAAAUCUAAAAACAACAUCUGCAGUACAAGUAAUUUUAUUACCAAACUUGAAGCUUCCCUGCAGGAGUGGACCUCACAGAAGAAGUCUGCUGCUUGGUUCUACAUUAGCCUUGGUCAGUCGGAAUGGGUUCCUCUUCUAACAAAGAAUGGUUUCAGAUUCCACCAUGCAGCACGGGAUGGCAGUGAGGUAGCGAUGGUGCGGUGGCUGGCUGCAGGGGAGUCACACAUCCCUGUGUUUUCACAUACCAUGAUUGGUGUGGGGGCGGUAGUUGUUAACACAGAGAACAAACUUCUGGUGGUCCAGGAACGCUACCAGAACCAGCCUUACUGGAAGCUGCCCGGUGGCUAUGUGGAGCCUGGGGAGGACAUACCAGCAGCUGCGAUGAGAGAAGUGCUAGAAGAAACCAACAUUAAGACGGAAUUCAAAUCCAUGGUAGCCUUCCGACAUUCACAUGGGGGUCCUUUUGGUUGUUCUGAUAUCUACUUUAUAGUCGAAUUGGCACCACUGACUGCGGAAAUUACCAGUUGUGAAAUAGAGAUUGAGGACAGCCAGUGGAUGGAGAUGUGGAUUUGACUAAGAUUGGAGGAAGAGGAUGUCUUAUGAUGUUGUGGCUGCUAAAGGUGUUAAACAUUUGACUAUUGCUGUCUUUCUUCAGGCCAUCAAAAUAUGGAUACGUACCUGAAACACCCGAAGGUACAUGAAAACAAUCGGUUGUUCCUCCGCAAGUACCUCUUCAGUAAAGAGAAUGGGAUUGUUAUCAACGGCACGAAAACCAAUCAUCCGAUCACCAAGGCACCUCAG
RNAcentral lists this unclassified non-coding RNA (1272 nucleotides) under Homalodisca vitripennis (glassy-winged sharpshooter). RNAcentral describes it as "nudix hydrolase 2-like, transcript variant X3". Lineage: Eukaryota; Metazoa; Arthropoda; Insecta; Hemiptera; Cicadellidae. The record is from RNAcentral.